Molecule: unclassified non-coding RNA, 407 nt
Filed under: Aldama parkinsonii
Lineage: Eukaryota; Viridiplantae; Streptophyta; Magnoliopsida; Asterales; Asteraceae
Description: Viguiera parkinsonii partial external transcribed spacer
Source: RNAcentral
UUUGGUUUGUUACGGGUGGUUGGCUCUUUGCUUGUGCAACAACUGCCACCUGACUUACCUCUUCAGAUGUUUGCCUAGGCUUGUAUAGCCUAAGCAGAUUGUGGGUUUCCUGUGUUGCCUACCUACGUUAUGGAAAUGACCCGACUGAUCAAAGUUGCUUUCGUCUUGUGUCAUCUCGGUGGCAUAAGAUGAACCUCGAAGCUGUCUCUUUGCACCGCAUCGUUAAUGCUUGCGUUGAUGUUGUGGCCCAUUGAGCAUUGCUUGGUACCUUGGAUACGGAACCUGAUGUGGGCAUGGGUCCUUAGGGAUUCUUGUUCUGCCCUCGUUUAGCGUUCGCGCUUCUCUUAGAAUGACUGCCCAGCCGCUAUGGCAAGCCGUUGCGGAUGGGCAUCGUCAAAGAGGAAUGC